Molecule: long non-coding RNA, 508 nt
Organism: Drosophila navojoa
Lineage: Eukaryota; Metazoa; Arthropoda; Insecta; Diptera; Drosophilidae
Source: RefSeq, a predicted model, not a curated record
UUACAGCUCUUUUAAUUAGCUGCAUGCCAAGUUCUUCGGCUUUCUUUUUUUAUGAAUAUUAACGCGUGCAGCUCUUUAAGCGGCAUAUUGUUUAAUAUAAAAUGCAGGAAAGCAAAACGCUCGAGGCACGCAGCCACACACACACACCCACACGCACACCCUCACGCACACAAAUGCUUAAGCACAAAGAAGGAUAUAACAAUUGCAAAUGGAAAUGUGCUAAAGUGCCAGGCGAAAAAGGCAAAAGAGAAAGACAGAGCAGCGUAAAAGGAUCAGAGCUGUCCAAAAGCGGGCCGUCGAGCGUGGAACUAAACACAAUUUCAAUGCUCCUAGUAUGUGAAUGAGUGUGUGUGUGUGUGUGUUUGUAAUGGUGUGAUGGUGUAAAAUGUAUAUAAAGAAAUAAAAAGAAAUUCGCACGCAACUGUCAAUGGCUGCGUACUUAUUUGCAAGCGCCAACAUCUUGUGUCCAAUGCCCCGCCCUCGCUGCCACCCUCAUCCCACAUUUGCU